Molecule: ribosomal RNA, 468 nt
Filed under: uncultured bacterium
Lineage: Bacteria
Description: partial 16S ribosomal RNA
Rfam family: Bacterial small subunit ribosomal RNA
Source: RNAcentral
GACGAACGCUGGCGGCGUGCUUAACGCAUGCAAGUCGAACGGAAAGGCCCUGCUUUUGUGGGGUGCUCGAGUGGCGAACGGGUGAUUAACACGUGAGUAACCUGCCCUUGACUUUGGGUUAACUUCAGGAAACUGGGGCUAAUACCGGAUAUGAGCUCCUGCUGCAUGGUGGGGGUUGGAAAGUUUCGGCGGUUGGGGAUGGACUCGCGGCUUAUCAGCUUGUUGGUGGGGUAGUGGCUUACCAAGGCUUUGACGGGUAGCCGGCCUGAGAGGGUGACCGGCCACAAUGGGACUGAGAUACGGCCCAGACUGCUACGGGAGGCAGCAGGGGGGAAUAUUGCACAAUGGGCGGAAGCCUGAGGCAGCAACGCCGCGUGCGGGAUGACGGCCUGCGGGGUGUAAACCGCUUUCGCCUGUGACGAAGCGUGAGUGACGGUAAUGGGUAAAGAAGCACCGGCUAACUACGUG